UGGGGAUUAGCUCAGUUGGUAGAGUGCUUGCCCCUCAUGCAAGAGGCCUCUGGGUUCAAUCCCCAGCACCACAA
Molecule: non-coding RNA, 74 nt
Organism: Ictidomys tridecemlineatus (thirteen-lined ground squirrel)
Lineage: Eukaryota; Metazoa; Chordata; Mammalia; Rodentia; Sciuridae
Source: Rfam